AGUGAACGCUGGCGGUAGGCCUAACACAUGCAAGUCGAACGGCAGCACAGUAAGAGCUUGCUCUUACGGGUGGCGAGUGGCGGACGGGUGAGGAAUACAUCGGAAUCUACUUUUUCGUGGGGGAUAACGUAGGGAAACUUACGCUAAUACCGUAUACGACCUACGGGUGAAAGCAGGGGAUCUUCGGACCUUGCGCGAUUGAAUGAGCCGAUGUCGGGUUAGCUAGUUGGCGGGGUAAAGGCCCACCAAGGCGACGAUCCGUAGCUGGUCUGAGAGGAUGAUCAGCCACACUGGAACUGAGACACGGUCCAGACUCCUACGGGAGGCAGCAGUGGGGAAUAUUGGACAAUGGGCGCAAGCCUGAUCCAGCCAUACCGCGUGGGUGAAGAAGGCCUUCGGGUUGUAAAGCCCUUUUGUUGGGAAAGAAAAGCAGCAGGUUAAUACCCCGCUGUUCUGACGGUACCCAAAGAAUAAGCACCGGCUAACUUCGUG
Molecule: ribosomal RNA, 492 nt
Filed under: uncultured bacterium
Lineage: Bacteria
Description: partial 16S ribosomal RNA
Rfam family: Bacterial small subunit ribosomal RNA
Source: RNAcentral